Molecule: ribosomal RNA, 530 nt
Filed under: uncultured bacterium
Lineage: Bacteria
Description: bacterial SSU rRNA
Rfam family: Bacterial small subunit ribosomal RNA
Source: RNAcentral
UCUUGACAUCCAGAGAACUUUCCAGAGAUGGAUUGGUGCCUUCGGGAACUCUGAGACAGGUGCUGCAUGGCUGUCGUCAGCUCGUGUUGUGAAAUGUUGGGUUAAGUCCGCAACGAGCGCAACCCCUAUCCUUUGUUGCCAGCGAUUCGGUCGGGAACUCAAAGGAGACUGCCGGUGAUAAACCGGAGGAAGGUGGGGAUGACGUCAAGUCAUCAUGGCCCUUACGAGUAGGGCUACACACGUGCUACAAUGGCGUAUACAAAGAGAAGCAACCUCGCGAGAGCAAGCGGACCUCAUAAAGUACGUCGUAGUCCGGAUUGGAGUCUGCAACUCGACUCCAUGAAGUCGGAAUCGCUAGUAAUCGUAGAUCAGAAUGCCUACGGUCCGAAUACGUUCCGGCCUUGUACACACCGCCCGUCACACCAUGGGAGUGGGUUGCAAAAGAAGUAGAUAGCUUAACCUUCGGGAGGGCGUUUACCACUUUGUGAUUCAUGACUGGGGUGAAGUCGUAACAAGGUAAGCGUAGCGAG